CUUCUUUGGCUCAAAGUGAAGGCUCAGUCCCCUGCACAAGCGGUGGUUCACCGCUGUGUUCUCAUCUCUCUUCCACCAGCGCCUCUCCCUGGGUUCACACUGAUGUCCUGUGGGUGGACAUGGGGCUUCCUGCACCUGGUCACUGCACAGCCCCUGUACCCUGAAGAGGAGGAGAACCAGCACUGUUCAGCCCCAAUAUGAUGUGAGCCUCAUGGGAAUCCCACUGUCUGGUCACUGCAUUAGAAAUACAAAGAGAAGCAGCAAAUGAGUUUCAAUAGUAUAUUUUAUUUACCUAGCAUAUCAAAAAUAUCAUGACUUUCAUAUGUAAUCUAAGUACAAUAAUGUAUGAGAAAUUUUCUAUUCUUUGCAUGGCUAUUAUUAUUAUUUGAAAAGUGUGAUGUGAAUGGCCUUCCUCUUUACAAGGAUGAGCUGUGGUGGCUUUUUAAGUGUCAAAAUUGAUAGGCUGAAGGAGGGGUGAAGAGAAUAAUUUAUUUGCACAGGAUGUGAAGGGUGGAGGUGGGCAGUGUCCACCUCCCUCAGAUCUCAGAGCACCUGGCAUCCCGGCAUCUCCAGGCUCCUGCUUCAGGAGGGCCCAGAGUGACAGCCUUUUCCCACAGUGCGGAUGCAGGUUCAUCCCUCAUUCCAGGAGCCUUGAGCGGUUUGGCCGAAGGCACCCCCAGGUACCCCAGGGCAGCCCAGGGCAGACCCUACCAGGCCAGACCUCACCAGUGAUCCCAUCUGGGCCACAUCUGCAUAUCGUCCUUGUCCAUCUGGAGCCUCUGGAGUUCCUCAAAGCACAGGCACAUGGUGAGGGGCCUGUAGUCUCAGAGACUUUCUGGGUGCAGUGUUUUUAGGCUGGAAUUAUUUAAAUUCAGUGAGGCUGUUUCUGUAUGUGGAAAUUCCAGGAAAAUGACUGUCAUUGGUGAAUCUUUCUUCUUUUCCAGCUCCUGUCCAUGUGCAGCAAUACAGGACCUUCCAGAGCGCUGACGAGGCCAUGCCAGCACCAGCGGAAGAGCCCCCUUCCGGGACAGUACUGGAGCUACAGGCAGCUCCUGCCCCUGUCCUAAGGAGCUGCCUAACAUUGUGGCACCUGCUCUAGCCACUAGCCUCAGCCCUAGAGCUGAAAGCAUGACUGGAGCAAGAGGUGGGAGAGAGGGGGUGGCCAUCCCGGCCCCAGCCAGCAGCUCCCCUGCUGCUCUGUGUCCUGGACACGGUGGGAGACAUGGAGGCCAAGACCAGGGUGUACGGCCUGGGCUCCUCUGCCUCAAUGGAGAGAGGCUUCUGUCAUUUGGCUGAGCUGCAGCCCUGCAGCUGAAGGACCUGCUGCUGCUGCUGCUGCUGGGGUUGUUUGCUGCCUGCAACAGGCGCUGGAGAGCAGGAAAAGAAGCCUGGGAGGAGGGGUCCCUAAUGUCAGAUGGUGUUUUUGAGGCUAUCCUGAAAAUCUCUGAUAGUCAUGUCUCUUUGUUGUGGUUGUUUGUACGAUGAAAUUACCACCUAAUCAACUGUUACUGGAAACCUUUCAGGUAUGGUUUUUAGAAGAACUUGACCUAUUUUUGGUUUUUUUUCGCUCUCGUUUAUUGUGGAAAGAGGGAUCAUUUAGGUUCAUUCGUCCUGCAGAUCAAUUGCCUUUUGCCAUCAAAGAUUUGGCAUCACAGGGUUUCCAAAAAUUACGUGUACAAGUUGGUAUGUUGGUACUUUAGCUAAUCUGGAUGUCAAAACAAUGUCAUAGACUAGGUCGCAGAGAAACAAAUUUAUUUCUCAUGGUUCUGGAGAUGGUAAAAUCCAAGGUCACGUGGUCAGCAGAUGUCAUGUCUGGUGAGGGCUUGCUCCUGGUUCGUAGACUGCCAUCUGUUUACUGUGUCCUCACAUGACAGAAAGAAUCAGGGAACUCUCAGCUGUCCCUUUGAUAGGGACACUGAUCCCAGUCAUGGGGGCUCUGGUUUCAUGACCUAAUCACCUUCCAAGGUCUCAUUUUCAAAUCCCGUCACAUAGAGAAUUAGAUUUUAACACAAGAAUUUGAGGGGACAAUAAGAUUUGAUCUCUAGAAUCAGGUCACCCUGAGCCCUUUGCACCUACAGGAAAUUUCUGAUCUUCUAUAACUCUUUGCUGGUGGCUCUGGGUUGAGGGAAAUAUUUAAUUGCAGCUCUUGAUUCAGCUCGGUCGAAACUUAAAUUCUCCAUUUGCCCACAUAACUUGUUCAUGGGACACAGGGAACUUUAGUGGCAAAUGGCCAUUUGGAAUUUUAGGAGGAUUGAUGGCGGAGGGCUUGGGACGUGGGUGAGAAGUGGAGGGAGGAGAAGAUGAAGGUGCAGAGGAGAGACAGCAGAAUGUGAAAGGGGAAGGGGAACUCUGGAUAGAAGUGUCAGCUAGAGGGCAAGGAAGGUGAUUUUUCCUGCAUUCUAAACCCGGAUCCAAUAUCAAGUCAGCACCACCUGAGGAAUACAUUUUUUCAAUCCAUAGUCCUAGGUUCUGGAAAUUUCGAUUUUAUAAAUCUGAAGGUGUACCAAUUUAUAUGUAUUCAUGAUAAGAAUUUUGGAUAAUUCUGAUAAAAUUAGACAACCAAGCAGAGCUUGAUAACCACUGGCUUGGGACAUAUAUCUGGAAGACACUUGAUUAUAUAAAAUAAUCACGGAAAACUGAGGAGGAAUUGUUUAUUUAAAAAUGCUUGCAUGUAAUUCAACUCUGCCUGGACGUGUAGUUUGGCCACAUAUCGGGUCUCUACACUACUAAAAUUGGAAAUGUGCAGGACGCUUUUAAAAAAUCAAGUAGACAGAAGGAGUUGGAGAGAAAAGAAAACUGACAAUUGUCUGUGAAGAGGAGAAGAGAAGGGGAAGGGAGUAGCACAUUUUUGUACAUGAUUUGAUGGCAUCUAAAUUAUAAGCCCAAACAGUGUUUCUCAGAAAGUCAAUAAUACAGGUUUUCAGAGUGUAGUGCCAACAGUGACUUCCUGGGACAGAGAAGUACUCUGUCUUGCUCUGUAAUGUUCAACAGACACAAAAGAAAGAGCCAUUCUGUAAGCAGUGUGAGCUGUAUUGCUGCUGAAUUAUUUUAUCUCAUGCCCAGGUGAAAAUGAAAGGGCUCUAAAGUGCUUAGGAUGAACACGAAGUCCUCAGCUGUCGGUAACAUCUCCGGGAGCCGCAUUAUCAGAGGUCCCUGGUGUUUUCUUGUGGAAAUAUAUAUGGAAUACAUAUGGAAUUUCAGGUGAUUGGCAUCUGAAUGUUUAAAUGUAGCAGGUAUGGUGAGUUUUCCAAAGACAUUUUUCCAGCUUCCCUGUCCAUCAGAGACUCACAAGAUACUACGUAGAACCACAGCCUCUCCAACAACCUCUAGUACCAGUCUUUGUAAAGUGUGUCAAUUAAAUGGGUUUAGGUUUUGUAUCUAUUAUUAAAAGAAAAUGGAAUACCUAGCCUUCAAAUGCAAGGCAUGCAGAGGCACGGGUUUAAAGUGUGUCCCGACCCUAGAAUUUAAAAAUCCCAUUUGUGCCUCCACUGUUCACUAAGAAAUUUCCUUAAGAAUCUAGAGACCAGACAUUCCUUUGAGAAACCACUCCAAUAUGGUUUCUCACCUACUCACUUUAAGAAAAUUGCUCUUAUCAAAUCACAAAUGAAAUCCAUAUUGUUAAAUUAUGAACUGAAGCAUAAUUCCUCAGCCUUUGUCUUAAUUUAUGUAUCAGCAGCAUUUAAUGCAGUGGAUCUCUCCUGUUUUUCCCAAAACGUUCUUUGAUAGAAUUCCAGAACACUUUCCCUGCAUUACCUCUUGACGUUUUUGAUAAUUACCCUUAGGACUUUUCUGCUGCUUUCUUCUCAGGUUUACUACUUUUUAAGUGCUAGAUGACCACGAGGCUCAGGACUUUGACUUCUCUUUAUCUCUGUUUUCUUACGAAUUUUUGUGUCAUUCAUUUCCCGAUAUUUUAUAUUAUACCAUAACACCAGACUACACCCAACACUGUCUGACUUCUCCACCUGGAUGUCUGUUAGAAAUGUCAAAAUUAAUAAGUCCACACGGAGCCACUGACGCUCCGCAAACUUGCUCUUCCCCAUUCUGUUUAAUAGUAACUCCCAUUUUAUGGUUUCUCAGCUCGUUAUGCUUGGGGUCCCCUUUUAAUUCGCUCUGUCUCUGCAGCUCUGUCUUGUCUCUCUGUAUCUGUCUGGUUCUCAUCCUCUCUUUCUCCUCUUCACACACACACACACACACACACACACACACACACACGCACAUUUUCAGAUCUGACAUGUAUGAAAAUUCUGCCAGCUUUACCUUUAAAGUGCAGUAAUUCCAAAUGGUAUUUUCAAAUUCUGUAUCCGUCUGGUUCUUAUUCUCUCUCCCUCUUUCUAUCCUGCCAGGUUUACCUUUAAAGUGCGGUAAUUCCAGAUGGUAUUUGCUGAGUCACCUUCCCACCCUCACUGCGUGGUGACGGUAGUACUUCUCUCACAAGGCCAAAGCUCUACUGCAGAGAUUUAUUGGGGGAAAUAAUGAGAACUAUUACACAAUCUUGUUUCAGGGGCACUGAAAAUACAGGCUAGCCAAAGUCUAUAUGAAUUUAAGCUUCUAUCAUUGCGCUAUUUUUCAAUCCAGUCUCCACACAACAAACACAGUAUGCAAUCAGAGUUCCAUCCAUAUCACAACACUCCUGUUUUGUUUUUUCUUUUUUUGAGACAGAGUCUCACCUGUUGCCAGGCGCCAGGCUGGAGUGCAGUGGCACAAUCUCGGCUCACUGCAACCUCCGCCUCCCAGGUUCAACACUCCUGUUUUAAAGUCCCUAAUCAAUGACUUCUUUUCUUCCUCUUUACACUUUAAGCUUAACGAAGCUGGGCAACUACGUGUAUUUUUCCGCUGACCUAUCUUCAGAGCUGGAGAUCACUUGGUGCAAGCUACAAGGCGGAUGUUAAGACCGUUCUUCUCUCAGCCCUCACUGGAUCAUUGCCCACUUGGUGCGACCUUCCUUAUCCAUUUGCCACUCCCUCUCCCUCUAAUUUACCACCUACGGGGAGCCUCUAUUCCUGAUAUACUAAAGCUCUCACGAAACUCAGAGGAAGUGGAUGAGGAUGAAAGUCAUAAGCCUGUGACACACGGCUGUCUUGAGCAGACACAAGAUCCAAUCAAACAGAUGGUCCACGUAUGUUCUUAUCCAAAGAAAGAGCUCAGGCCACUAGAGGAGGUGAAAUACAGUGACCCUCACAAGGAGACCUCCACCCAGAACACACGCUGCUGCAAUUUUCCAACUUCACAUGACCCUGAAAACCAGGACCGUUAAACCACAUCCUGUGGGACACCCUGGACUGACACUUUUUUUUUUAGUGGUCUCAGAACUGAUACUGGUUUUUAUAUUUUAUAUGUUUUAAUGAUUACAGUGCUAUCAGUACCUAUGGAUUAUCCCCAAAGUUGACCCCUGUGUGGCAAAGGCUAAAAUACUUCUUAUCUAGACGUUUAAGAAAAAGUUUACCACAUCCUAAAAAACAAUGAGCACUGAAAUAGUAAAGGCCCAGCCUCAAGCAAACUAGAAGAAAUCAAAAAUCAAAGUGUAACAAGAUAAUUUUUAUAUGUGAUAGGUUGGCCAAAAUUGGCACUUUUACCAAUAAAUUCCAAUCAAUACUUAGGACUGGCAUUGUAAACUGGUAGGUCCCCUCUGGAGGGCAGUGUGAAAACAAUAGGUAAAAAUCGCUAAUGCACAUGAUUUUGAUCCAGCAAUUUCACUUCUGGAAAUUUAUCCUGUGGUCAUGUGCACGCAUGAACUCAAGGGACUCUGCAUAGGGAGGCUCGCUGCAGUGUUAUUUGUGCUUGGGAAACCACAGAGCAGGUUUCCUUUUGGACUUUUUGGUAAGAAAGGAGAGGAGCUGAGAGAGAGGAAUUCUCAAGGCCGUGCUGCAGGAAGCCCCUGGCACGGGGUGAUGAAGCAUCUUCAGAGCAAGGGAGAGCCAGAGAGCCACGGGCAAGUUUGGGUCUCAGUUCCCCAUGAACUUGGACCACUGUGGGAAGUGCCACCUCUCCUAUAGGAGCUGCAGUAAUAAUCAGCAUCUUACCCAUCCUAGAGCCCAUAGAUGGUC
This is a long non-coding RNA of Sapajus apella (tufted capuchin), 6044 nucleotides long. RefSeq lists it as uncharacterized. The transcript is spliced from 3 exons. Lineage: Eukaryota; Metazoa; Chordata; Mammalia; Primates; Cebidae. The record is from RefSeq and is a predicted model, not a curated record.